UCGGGAAUUUUGGGCAAUGGGCGAAAGCCUGACCCAGCAACGCCGCGUGAAGGAUGAAGUCUUUCGGGAUGUAAACUUCGUAAGAAUAGGAAGAAUAAAUGACGGUACUAUUUGUAAGGUCCGGCUAACUACGUGCCAGCAGCCGCGGUAAUACGUAGGGACCAAGCGUUGUUCGGAUUUACUGGGCGUAAAGGGCGCGUAGGCGGCGUGACAAGUCAAUUGUGAAAUCUCCGGGCUUAACUCGGAACGGUCAAUUGAUACUGUUGUGCUAGAGUACAGAAGGGGCAAUCGGAAUUCUUGGUGUAGCGGUGAAAUGCGUAGAUAUCAAGAGGAACACCUGAGGUGAAGACGGGUUGCUGGGCUGAUACUGACGCUGAGGCGCGAA
This 385-nucleotide ribosomal RNA is filed under the name uncultured bacterium. RNAcentral's name for it is "bacterial SSU rRNA". It matches the Rfam family "Bacterial small subunit ribosomal RNA", at positions 355 to 757 of the family's 1533-position model. The record is from RNAcentral.